RNAcentral lists this ribosomal RNA (387 nucleotides) under Haptophyta sp. RNAcentral's name for it is "partial small subunit ribosomal RNA". It matches the Rfam family "Eukaryotic small subunit ribosomal RNA", at positions 582 to 975 of the family's 1831-position model. The record is from RNAcentral. Lineage: Eukaryota; Haptophyta.
AUUCCAGCUCCAAUAGCGUAUAUUAAAGUUGUUGCAGUUAAAAAGCUCGUAGUCGGAUUUCAAUGCGGGUUGACCGGUCUGCCGAUUGGUAUGCACUGGCCGAGCCGUAUUUCCUCCCGGAGACCUCGUCUGCUCUUAACUGAGGCGGACGGGGGAAACGGGAUUUUUACUUUGAGGAAAUCAGAGUGUUCAAAGCAGGCUUUUGUAUGUAUGUGUUAGCAUGGGAUAAUAAAAUAGGACUUGGGUGCUAUUUUGUUGGUUUCGAACACCUAAGUAAUGAUUAAUAGGGAUAGUCAGGGGCACUCGUAUUCCACCGAGAGAGGUGAAAUUCUUAGACCAGUGGAAGACGAACUUCUGCGAAAGCAUUUGCCAGGGAUGUUUUCAUCA